GAUCGAUUGAUUGAUGGUCCAUAUGCAUGCAUUAUUAUUCCUGUUGCUAUACCAUACCACCUUCUUCUCUUCUGCUCGCUAGCUCCCGCCAUCAGCCCAUCUCCAUUUAAGCCGGAGCUCACAGCAGUGCGCGCGCAUGAGUGCGUGGUCGUUAGAUGUAUAUAUAUGUGCAUGCAUGAGCUGCUCGAGGCUUGCAAGAAGGUGGCAGAUUUGAUCGAUGGCGAUGCCGGUGGAGACGGCGGUGUGCAUCGCGCGCAACGUGCUCUUGCUGCUGGACGCUUGGGUCUGGACGUGCGUGCUCGCCGCCGACGGCGCCGCGCGCCUCCUCCGGUCGGCCACGCACUGAUCGAUCGAUCGUCCCCCGCCGCCGAUUCACGGUGAGUGAUCAGCUGGCUGUAGCUGCUGCUGUUAUUUGCCUUCCUGUUGAUUGAUCAAUAUGGCUCGCUCGCUAGCUUCUUCGAAGUCACGGCGAGGUGGUGCUUUUAUUUCUUUAAAUUUAGGUCCUGUUUGGAUAAUAUAUAUUAAAGGGUCUUAAAGGAAUUUUCAAUGAACAAACGACUCGGAGGAAAGGGAAAUACUUCAUUUUAACUACAAGCUAGCUAGUUAUGUAUAUAUAUUCAGACAUGAUCGAUCUGUACAUGAUGCAAAUUUGAGUUUGUCAUUGGAAUGAAGGGUUAGUUGAGUUCUUUCUCAAGAAAAGGAAACCAUCAUAGUGUUUGUUGGAAACUUGGAAUGGAGGGAAUCAUCAUAGCGUUUAAUUAAUUGUUUCUAUGUUUUUUUCAUUCCUCUAUUUAAUUUAUAUUCUUUGUUUCAUCAAACAGGCCGUAUGUGUCUAGAUGCAAAACGAAAGAUAUCAUCUGCUCCACCCAUAUGACCUCGUGAGUCGAUCGUCCUCGUAAUAGUACAGGUGAUGUACUUUUUCACAAGUAUUUGGUUUCCAUCUAUAGUUUCCAUUGCAACCAAAAAAAAUCAUUUUACAUGUUGAAUGGUCGUAAAGCCUAUGCGCUAGCUGUUUGAUCAAUGAUUUGCAUUAUGCUGUUCUAUCUAAUUAAACAUGAAUAGCGGCUCUACGCGUGCAUAGAGAUCACAUGUGUUUGUCUCUUUGGUUAAUGGUUAGGUGGCUGAUUCCAUUUUGGUUUUUCCAUUUAAUUUGAUGAUGUGGUAUAUAUGGUGGUUGAGCAUAUAAUUAAUAUUUUCCCUCAAGUAAUAGGUGUUCAAAUAAUUGGCAAUGUUAGUACAGAGCGUCAAGCAAUUAACCUAGUAGUGUAAAGUAAAAAAGGAUAUCGAAGAAUUAUGUGGUAAUUAAUAUUGAUUUUUUUGUCCCAUUUCAGGGCUCGUCAAGCAUGUGUAUAGCAACGUUAGAUAUAUAUUGAAGUCGUCCAGGAUCGGAGAUAUACUCUCUUUUUUUCAAUACAAGUAAUGAUUUUGAAACAGCUACUUGUUCACCUUUCUUUUAUUUAUCAUCUUAGAGGAUGACGACAUUGAUGUGAAGUAAUAUAUGUAACAGAAACUAGCUAGCUGCAGCAUUAAUUGGGUAUGAAUUCCAAUUUCUGCGCCAGUGUACCAAUUUCUCGUGUUCAAUGAAAAAAUGUAUGAUGAUUUGCGUUUGUCGUGAACCUGAAGGGGAAAAAAAUUGUACCCUUGAAUCUACGUAUUUUCUGCUCAGAUGUUGAUACUUGACUUGGAG
This 1687-nucleotide long non-coding RNA is filed under the name Zea mays. Its description in RNAcentral is "long non-coding RNA (ZMAY_LNC000253)". The record is from RNAcentral. Lineage: Eukaryota; Viridiplantae; Streptophyta; Magnoliopsida; Poales; Poaceae.